AUUUUUCCUACUAAUUGACAAAUACUUUACUCGGCGUCAAGAAUGUUUCUUCUUCAUUAUGAAUGAAAAUGUUACUUGUUAUGCAUUAUGUCGCAUUUAGGAAAGACAAUAAAUUAUUAUGCAAACUCAGCUGUAUUAUAUGUAUCAUCAAAAAUAUUGCAAUUAAAAGUCCAUGUAAAUAUAUAGAGUAUAGGUAGCCUUUUGCUCAAAUUCAGUCAACAUUGAAAAGAAUAACUGGGUACUAGUCCUAAGCUAAUACCAUCUGCUAAUUAAAAGGACAGCUGUGUGAUCAAGUCCAUGAUUAAAAGGACAGCUGUGUGAUCAAGUCCAUGAUUAAAAGGACAGCUGUGUGAUCAAGUCCUUGAUUAAAAGGACAGCUGUGUGAUCAAGUCCAUGAUUAAAAGGACAGCUGUGUGAUCAAGUCCUUGAUUAAAAGGACAGCUGUGUGAUCAAGUCCAUUAUUAAAAGGACAGCUGUGUGAUCAAGUCCAUAAUUAAAAGGACAGCUGUGUGAUCAAGUCCUGUAUUAAAAGGACAGCUGUGUGAUCAAGUCCAUUAUUAAAAGGACAGCUGUGUGAUCAAGUCCUGUAUUAAAAGGACAGCUGUGUGAUCAAGUCCAUGAUUAGAAGGACAGCUGUGUGAUCAAGUCCAUGAUUAAAAGGACAGCUGUGUGAUCAAGUCCAUGAUUAAAAGGACAGCUGUGUGAUCAAGUCCAUGAUUAAAAGGACAGCUGUGUGAUCAAGUCCAUUAUUAAAAGGACAGCUGUGUGAUCAAGUCCAUAAAUAAAAGGAUAGCUGUAUGAUCAAGUCCAUUAUUAAAAGGACAGCUGUGUGAUCAAGUCCAUUAUUAAAAGGACAGCUGUGUGAUCAAGUCCAUAAUUAAAAGGACAGCUGUGUGAUCAAGUCCAUGAUUAAAAGGGCAGCUGUGUGAUCAAGUCCAUAAUUAAAAGGACAGCUGUGUGAUCAAGUCCAUUAUUAAAAGGGCAGCUGUGUGAUCAAGUCCAUAAAUAAAAGGAUAGCUGUGUGAUCAAGUCCAUUAUUAAAAGGACAGCUGUGUGAUCAAGUUUUUGAUUAAAAGGACAGCUGUGUGAACACUGUCCGUUCCUUAGAUAAGCUGUAUUGUAUGUAAAAUGUAAUUUACCAGGGCUGCCUCUUAAACUAUUAAUACUGUAUACAAAUGAUACUGCUGGACGUUUUAUUUGUUUCAGGAAUUUGCAUCUACAACCGGAAACCGCAGCGAAGACCGUGGGACACGUUCUACACAGGAUGGCCGAGUGUUAACAACCACUGGGAACACCAGACGCAUCUAACCUAAUAUUAUUUAAUUAUUAAGUAUUACUCAUAUUAUAUAUUAAACCUCUUUUAUGAUUUCAAAAAGUAAAUAAAGUAAUUUAAAAAUAA
Spodoptera frugiperda (fall armyworm) is the source of this 1399-nucleotide long non-coding RNA. RefSeq lists it as uncharacterized. Lineage: Eukaryota; Metazoa; Arthropoda; Insecta; Lepidoptera; Noctuidae. The transcript has 2 exons. The record is from RefSeq and is a predicted model, not a curated record.